CUUGUAGCCCAUAAGAGGUCCAGCCUGCCCAGUGAAAUAUUCAACGGCCGCGGUAUCCUAACCGUGCGAAGGUAGCGUAAUCACUUGUUCUCUAAAUCAGGACUAGUAUGAAUGGCAUCACGAGGGUUACACUGUCUCCUUUUUCCAAUUAGUGAACUUAAUCUUCCCGUGAAGAAGCUGGAAUAAACCUAUAAGACGAGAAGACCCUUUGGAGCUUUAAACUAUUUAGCAUCUGCAUUAUUACCUUUAUAUUUCUGAAUUUUUUCCCUCCGCAGUCUGACUAACAGUUUUAGGUUGGGGUGACCGCGGAGUAAAAUACACCCUCCACAUUGUAAGAGUCUAUUGAAUCUAAGCCAAGAGGCACACCUCUAAGCAUCAACAUACUGACACCCAUUGACCCAAUAUAUUUGAUCAACGAAC
RNAcentral lists this ribosomal RNA (420 nucleotides) under Amazophrynella sp. ABGD cluster 11. Its description in RNAcentral is "partial large subunit ribosomal RNA". It matches the Rfam family "Bacterial large subunit ribosomal RNA", at positions 1835 to 2457 of the family's 2925-position model. Lineage: Eukaryota; Metazoa; Chordata; Amphibia; Anura; Bufonidae. The record is from RNAcentral.